AGUUAAGGCAGUCAACAAGAAAUCAAAAAAUGCAGGAUUUCUUCCAAGUUCGUUCCUGAGAUAAAUACAAGAUCAGCUUCACGUUUUUAGCAGCCAACUUCAGCUUCUGCUCAACAAUUUGUUGGUUAUAUGUUUGUUGUUUGCAUUUUGUGUAUACCAUGAUAGUGAAUGCAUGUAUAAAUAAUUUAAUGGUUUAACCCAAAAAAUUAAAGGGACACAAAAGAGAUCCUAGAUGAUGAAAGCCUAACAUCUCUCUUCAGAAAUAUAUUGGGUUCAAACAAGUUAGAUUCGGAUCACAAGCAAGAAAAAUUUCUGUAAUAAUAGGAAAAAGAAGAACGAAAUAGUAGAGUUAGACUAUUACCGGCAAGACAGCGAGAUGGCGAGAUCAAAGGCAAAGAGGGACGGAGAAACCAGAGAGCAGAGAGAGAAUGAGACUGUGAGAGCCGAGAACAGUGCAGCUGUAAUAGGCAAAAAUCUACGGAGACCAGAGAAACAGAGAAGGAAGUAGUAGGUCUAGAUGUGUAGUUCAAAAGAAAGGGGUC
Molecule: long non-coding RNA, 542 nt
Filed under: Nicotiana tabacum (common tobacco)
Lineage: Eukaryota; Viridiplantae; Streptophyta; Magnoliopsida; Solanales; Solanaceae
Description: long non-coding RNA (NTAB_LNC019280)
Source: RNAcentral